UACGAAGGGGGCUAGCGUUGUUCGGAAUCACUGGGCGUAAAGGGCGCGUAGGCGGCUUUAUAAGUCGGGGGUGAAAGCCUGUGGCUCAACCCCAGAAUUGCCUUCGAUACUGUAGAGCUUGAGACCGGAAGAGGUGAGUGGAACUGCGAGUGUAGAGGUGAAAUUCGUAGAUAUUCGCAAGAACACCAGUGGCGAAGGCGGCUCACUGGCCCGAUACUGACGCUGAGGCACGAAAGCGUGGGGAGCAAACAGG
RNAcentral lists this ribosomal RNA (253 nucleotides) under uncultured bacterium. RNAcentral describes it as "partial 16S ribosomal RNA". It matches the Rfam family "Bacterial small subunit ribosomal RNA", at positions 524 to 776 of the family's 1533-position model. The record is from RNAcentral.